This is a long non-coding RNA of Drosophila miranda, 1254 nucleotides long. RefSeq lists it as uncharacterized. The transcript is spliced from 3 exons. The record is from RefSeq and is a predicted model, not a curated record. NCBI's taxonomy places the organism in Eukaryota, Metazoa, Arthropoda, Insecta, Diptera, Drosophilidae.
GUCAUUUUGCCGAUUUUUUCAAUUUUCUGUCUGGAAGAAUAUACAAACACGAACGAUUAGGCCAUAGUUAAAUAUUAAAUGGUCAAAACUUUAGAGGCAAUCAUUUUAACGAAAUAUGCAUGUAUACGUAUUAUUCACGAGCAGCGGAAAUCAAUACUAUAAAAAUGAAAAUUCUAUUGCGCAUGACCACCGUUCCAAGAGGGUUGCACCGAAGUAAAUCGAAUUCGAAAGUAACCGAAUCAUAUGCCCUUGCUGGGGUUACCAUUUCUUCCGUACAGAUGUUUGUAACGUGCAUCCUUAGAACACAAGGAAUCGGAUUCGAUUCAAUACAUCGUUUUGGUUGGUUGGUUGGUUAAAUCCCUAGUAUACAAAAAUUAUACGAAAUAAAUUCACUUUUGAAGUAAAGUUUCUCUUUCUAAAAACUAUUAGUUACGAGUGAAGCUGCAUCAACAGCUGAUUGCUUGAUUGCUUGAUCAAAUCGGGAUAAUUGAUGUAUCCUUGGAAAAUAACCAAACACUUUAAUUUGCGAUUACCUAUCAAACGGUUCGAUCGUCCGACUAUCGUCAUGGAUUUGUAAUUUUAGCUGCAUACGCACAUACUUAUCUCAUUACACAUAUAUAUGCAUGUAUGUAUUUAGCUGCUGCCUUCGUGCAGCUUUCGUCACUAGCGUGGAGUGCCAGUGCCUUUCACAGUAAAAAAAUGGAAUUUUGUGUAAUGGUGCAGACCGCGGUUGACUAAUAACAAUAUACAUAUGAACAUAUCUAUGUAUAUAUGCAAGUAAUAAGUAUGUGGGCAUUUGUAUUUGUGGAAAUAUAGCACCCCACAUACAUAUACAUAUAUCUACAAUUCACUCACGCACCGUGGAUAACAGGAGAGCCCUCUUCAGUUGGAACAAUAUGGGAAAAAGUGGAACACAGAAAAUACUUGGUGAGAAACAUUGCUCAACAAAAUGGACACCCACUCUAGUAUCACCCUUAUGUUGGAUCCUGGACAACUGGACAGCAAAGGUAAGGUUUCAGGUGAAACUCAAAACGUUUCCAUCGACAAUUUUUCUCUUCAUUAUGUUCGCUACUUGUUGCUGUAGAUUUGUUUCGUUUCCACAUUGUUUCAGGCUUAAAACAAAAUAUAAUUUCUUAAGCUAUAUGUUAUGUUUUUAAAUAAUAUUUAUAUUCUAAUACAAUUUUCUAAAUGUUCUUAAUAAUUUGUUCGAAGAUAUUAAUAAAAUGAUUUUGCGAAUUUGGUAUAUUUUAACAG